AUAAAUUCAGAUAAUAAAUAUUUAACAUGCAAAAUCCAAACUCAUCCAAAAUCUGAUUAUAUAUUAUCCAAAUCCAUCCUAAUAGAAUUUAAUCGAAUGGAUCGAAUACCUACAAAACCACAAUCCAAUACCAUCUUUACUACUAUGGCUUUCGGUGUCUUUGGCUGCAAAACACAUUUUGAGAUGCCUGUACUUCUAACCUGUUUCCAACUCACUGUACCCAGCAAUCAAUCCACUUUCUAUCUAUCAAUCCGUUUUAUUCAAUGGAUUUUCACUUGAUGUUUGAUUUUAGACCUGCAAAUUGAUAAUCUUAACAAGAGAGCAGGCAUUUCAACAAUUUCUCCUUUUUCUUGCCUUGAAAUAAUUUUUAAAUUUGUUCGUGGAAUUGAAAGUAUUGUAUUUACAUCCAGAAAUCUCCAAGGCUGUUCAUCCAUUGUAUCUGUCAUCAGGAGAAAAUCAAAUCUGAUUGCAUAAGCUCUCCAUGCCAAUCAUUUUAUAAACAACUUCAACUUCACUUGGGCAAAGAAUGGUCGUGAAGAAACCUUAUGUACAAACAAUUAACAGGUGAGAUUGAUACUGAACCCCAGUGAAUCACCUAUCAAGCUUCUGAGAUAGGUCUGCAAGUGCACGAUAAAGAAUUGCUGCAGCAGGUGGCCUUGGUAAUGAGCCAAGAAGUAUAUCAGAUGCAGUUAUUGACUGGCUCCCAUAGAAUCUGGAAUUCUCUUUCGACCGAGUGGUGACAACACUCCCUUCAAGUGAACAUCCAACAAAUGCUCCUUUACUGCAGCUGUACGUAUAACAAGCAGCAUACCCACCAUCACCAGCCCUCAAAUCAGCUUCAACUGCCCGUCCAAUGACACCAACUGCUGCACUCAAACCAGCACCCAUUGAAACAUGUGCAUUGCCGCAAAAAGUCUUGACAGCAUCAUUUGUUCUCAACACAAUUAUGAAAUCUGUCAAUUCGCCUCCAGCCUGUGCUCCCCAACCCAUGCCAAAUGAAGAUACAGCAGAGGGCGGAGACCAUGAGCCAUCUUCUCUUCGAGCGACUACAAGCCCAGUUCCAACAUUAUAUGUAACCAUCACUCCAACUUUCACAACUGUGAUUAUUGCAAGGCCUUUUGCAUGUCGUAGAAUGGCAUCUGGAAUUGAUUUCUCAGGUUUUAGACAAACUGCCUUGUUAUAACCCUGAAUUGUAUUUGCUGCCUUAUAAAUCUCAUAUUCCAUGGAUUGUCCCCAUGGAAAAUUAACCCAGGAUCUCAAAGUACUAAGGUCUGUCAAGUCAUGGGUAGGCAACUGGGCAGCAUGGCUUACUUGGUCCAUCAGGUAUGGCUGGACAGUCUGAAGCCGCACACAACAUACAUCACAGACACGCUGAGGAUCUGCAAUACGAAACUUCACUGGCAACAAACUCCUACCUUUAGAGCACUCGCCACAAAAUAUUCCUCCACAAAACCUGCAAUGAUGCCUGGAGCACAUGAUUGGAUGAAACCGCACACCACACAGCAUGCAAGCAGAGGCAGUACUAUCAGCCAACCAUCUUGGAGGCUCUGCUUCAAGAAUCUCCCUCGCAUUCCCAAAAUUGGCUUCCGUGAGAGUUUGAGCCAUCUCUUGCCAAGCUUGCUCUAAUAGAUGGCUUGAUAUCCAUGAAAAAUUGCAACUACGAAUAUCACCUGAAGCAAUAGCGCUCACUUUUCCACGAGCUGCAAGUAACAUUUCCACUAUCACAUCCCACAUGGUUAAAUCCUUCUCUUCUCCAAGGUACUGGUUCCAUCCCAUGUCACCAUCAGGAAAAUAACCACCAUUUGAAUGAAAACCUCUGCUCCACUCUUCAUGAUCAUUUCCCAACAUGGGUGGAACAGAAACAGGUAUCCAAACCCCAGUUUCUUCAGAAAGGGGUGAAUCAUAAAAGAAGUACUUCCCUACCUUUUGCUCACUGGUUUUUGUUUCGUUCUUCUCAUUAUUCCUGGGAUCAUUUUCUCCAGAGGUAAGAAUUCUAUGGGUCCCUAAUCCAGUGGUGGCUGCAGAAUUAUAGAAAUCUGUAGAACUUUCAAGUCCCCCAUUAUCCUGCGGGAGAGAAUUGGAAACCCUAGUCUCCAAAUUCCCAAUUCCUUCAACUUCAAGAUGAGGUUCGAAAUUUAGAGAAUUACCCUCCAUAUCGUGCAAGGGAAGAAGCAAAAUUCGGCAUAUAACAAAAGAAAAAGGCAAUUAAAAAAAAAGGGAAAUUGUGAUGAGAAAUUUGACGAUAAGAAGGCAGAGACACAGAGAACAGGGAUUAAGGAAGGAUAGGGAAGAAGGCAGUAAUGAUUGAGUUGAUGAAGGGAACUAGGGUUGUAAAGGCGUCUUCUUUGGGCUAUUGGAGCUUUCGUGUUGAUUAUAUCUAUCUUUGUUUAACAGUUGAAUAACAAACAAAACUACUAUGAUU
This 2422-nucleotide unclassified non-coding RNA is filed under the name Hevea brasiliensis (rubber tree). Lineage: Eukaryota; Viridiplantae; Streptophyta; Magnoliopsida; Malpighiales; Euphorbiaceae. The record is from RNAcentral.